GCAACAGCAAAAGAGGAAUGAGCAGACAGACUAUAAGUAAUUAUUACUAACCCUCUUAUACCUUGGAACAAGCAUCCAGUGCCCUUGUAUUCUACACUCCAGGAAGAACUAGAGUUGGGGAAUUCAUCCUCUCUAAACGUUGACGUCAAUUGAACACAUAAACCACUGAUACUGAAGAAGCAACAUCUGGAGGCAGUUACCUGCUUUUGAAACUAGGUGUCAUAACUGGAGAGCUGCGUACCAGAAAGAAAUAAGGUCUGAAACACCGUAAGAGAUGUCCUGAGAAGAACCAAGAUAUACCAGAUCAUCUAACAAAAGAAUGGAGAGGUCUAUACAUUUAACUCCUUCCUCCUCCCCUGUAAUUACUUAAAAUCCUCCCCACCAACUCAUCAGAUCUCUUUUUCUUGCAACCUGAGCCAGGGCAGAUGAAAACAACUAGAAAGUAUUACACUGAGUAAUCUAUUAAACAUUUUCUACUUUGAAGAGCGUGCGCAGUUCAUUGGAGAAAGAAAUUCCAUCUGCAAAGACAGCCAAUGACCAUGAAAAAAGCUGAACUACAGUGCAAAUGAAUAACGAGCCAGCAGUUCAACUUACACAGCACAUUAUAAGCGGAGACUUUCAUAAAGAUAAGACUCUAAAUCAACUUGUAAACUUUUAUAACAAAAUGCCAAACACGCCACUUAAAUCAAACCAACACUGAGCACCUAAGUGAAAAUCCUAAGACACACAAGUCUCCCUUUGUCAGUAACGGCGGAUGCCUGUCCAUCCCAGAUAGCUAAAUUACUUCUGUCAGAUGGUGGCACACCUAACCUCCAUUCCUUUACUUCCUCGUUUCCCCAGUACAUUCUAUGAUAGGAAUCCUUGAGAUAUUAUUCC
Long non-coding RNA from Bubalus bubalis (water buffalo), 876 nucleotides. RefSeq lists it as uncharacterized. The record is from RefSeq and is a predicted model, not a curated record. The transcript has 3 exons. NCBI's taxonomy places the organism in Eukaryota, Metazoa, Chordata, Mammalia, Artiodactyla, Bovidae.